Molecule: ribosomal RNA, 460 nt
Filed under: uncultured bacterium
Lineage: Bacteria
Description: partial 16S ribosomal RNA
Rfam family: Bacterial small subunit ribosomal RNA
Source: RNAcentral
CCUACGGGUGGCAGCAGUGAGGAAUAUUGGUCAAUGGACGAGAGUCUGAACUAGCCAAGUAGCGUGAAGGAUGACUGCCCUAUGGGUUGUAAACUUCUUUUAUAUGGGAAUAAAACGUUCCACGUGUGGGAUUUUGUAUGUACCAUAUGAAUAAGCAUCGGCUAACUCCGUGCCAGCAGCCGCGGUAAUACGGAGGAUCCGAGCGUUAUCCGGAUUUAUUGGGUUUAAAGGGAGCGUAGGUGGAUUGUUAAGUCAGUUGUGAAAGUUUGCGGCUCAACCGUAAAAUUGCAGUUGAAACUGGCAGUCUUGAGUAGACUAGAGGUGGGCGGAAUGCGUGGUGGAGCGGUGAAAUGCUUAGAUAUCGCGAAGAACUCCGAUUGAGAAGGCAGUUUAAUGGACGGCAACUGACACUGAGGCUCGAAAGUGUGGGUAUCAAACAGGAUUAGAGACCCCUGUAGUC